AGUACAAAUUGCUUCGUCUGCAUUAAGCCCUAGACGUAAAAUAACGGAAAUGAAAAUGACCAAAAAACAUAACUGACCCAAGAAAUGUAACAAAUAGAGAACUUGCCUUUUCAAGCCUCGUAGCAAUAUUAGGAGGUCUCGUUGAAUCCUAUACAAUCAAUCCUAAGCAAUACGAACCGACCGACUUAAUACAUUAUUACAACGAAAACGGAAGAAAAGACUAUACUCAAGUAGUCGAAGUAACAAAUAAAUUAUUAGAGGAAGCUAGUACCAAAGUUACACCGAUUGUAAACCUCCUGAACUCCCUAUGUAUUGAAGCAGCAUACGGAGGCUGUGACAAAGCUAUGGACUCGGCCAUUAGAUCUAAUUACACAUACUACAUGCCUGCCAGACUCUUUGUACAUCUCGGAAGAAUAUCCAAAAACAUCUUAAAAAAUCAGAUUAUACUAGAUAAAAUGAUAAAUAAUGAUGAAGUUGUAUCUUAUCUAUCAGAGCACGCUAAUGAUAGAGGCAUCAUGAAACUUAUCAAAAAGUUUUCAAAGGCGUAUCUUAUUAUGAAAAGGAUGAAUACGUAUUCGUAGAGGGAUAUCAAUGUUAAUAGCACAAAAAUAAAAUGUUAUAAUUUA
This is a long non-coding RNA of Melitaea cinxia (Glanville fritillary), 626 nucleotides long. RefSeq lists it as uncharacterized. The record is from RefSeq and is a predicted model, not a curated record. NCBI's taxonomy places the organism in Eukaryota, Metazoa, Arthropoda, Insecta, Lepidoptera, Nymphalidae. The transcript has 3 exons.